Molecule: ribosomal RNA, 484 nt
Filed under: uncultured bacterium
Lineage: Bacteria
Description: partial 16S ribosomal RNA
Rfam family: Bacterial small subunit ribosomal RNA
Source: RNAcentral
AUUGAACGCUGGCGGCAGGCCUAACACAUGCAAGUCGAGCGGAUGAAGGGAGCUUGCUCCUGGAUUCAGCGGCGGACGGGUGAGUAAUGCCUAGGAAUCUGCCUGGUAGUGGGGGAUAACGUCCGGAAACGGGCGCUAAUACCGCAUCCGUCCUGAGGGGGAAGGUGGGGGAUCUUCGGCCCUCACGCUAUCAGAUGAGCCUAGGUCGGAUUAGCUAGUUGGUGGGGUAAAGGCCUACCAAGGCGACGAUCCGUAACUGGUCUGAGAGGAUGAUCAGUCACACUGGAACUGAGACACGGUCCAGACUCCUACGGGAGGCAGCAGUGGGGAAUAUUGGACAAUGGGCGAAAGCCUGAUCCAGCCAUGCCGCGUGUGUGAUGAAGGUCUUCGGAUUGUAAAGCACUUUAAGUUGGGAGGAAGGGCAGUAAGUUAAUACCUUGCUGUUUUGACGUUACCAACAGAAUAAGCACCGGCUAACUUCGUG